This is a long non-coding RNA of Papaver somniferum (opium poppy), 415 nucleotides long. RefSeq lists it as uncharacterized. The record is from RefSeq and is a predicted model, not a curated record. NCBI's taxonomy places the organism in Eukaryota, Viridiplantae, Streptophyta, Magnoliopsida, Ranunculales, Papaveraceae. The transcript is spliced from 2 exons.
UCUUCACAAACUCAUCAACUGAACCAAGAACAACAACAAUACUUGCUAGAUUUCUAUUUUCAAAUUUCUUAUCGUGUGAGUAUGGGUAUCCUCGCUUUCACUGAAGAAAUCCAUUGCCCCGUUUCAGCUAUAAGGAUGUUCCGCGGCGAUGGCGAUGAACAUUUGGCCGUUGUAAGUUUACCGAAACGCUGAAGUUUACGAUCAACUGAGUCAAGAUCUGGCUGGUUUAUUUAAGUAAAUCAAUCUCGCUUGACCAAAAUUAAGUGUUGAUUUGGUGACUUAAUAUGAAUAUUUGUGUGUGUUCUUAAGUAUUUUCGUCCUAUGUAUUAUCCACUUACAUGUAUGUGGUGGGUGGGUACGUAGUGUUGUACCUUUCCUCAUCAUGCAAUAAAUAAAGGAGAUAUUAUUACUACUA